GACGAACGCUGGCGGCGUGCCUAACACAUGCAAGUCGAGCGGAAAGGCCCUUCGGGGUACUCGAGCGGCGAACGGGUGAGUAACACGUGAGGAACCUGCCCUGGACUUUGGGAUAACCCUCGGAAACGGGGGCUAAUACCGAAUACGACACGGUCUCGCAUGGGAUCCGUGUGGAAAGUUUUUCGGUCUGGGAUGGUCUC
This 200-nucleotide ribosomal RNA is filed under the name uncultured bacterium. Its description in RNAcentral is "partial 16S ribosomal RNA". It matches the Rfam family "Bacterial small subunit ribosomal RNA", at positions 28 to 232 of the family's 1533-position model. The record is from RNAcentral.